This 397-nucleotide ribosomal RNA is filed under the name uncultured bacterium. RNAcentral's name for it is "partial 16S ribosomal RNA". It matches the Rfam family "Bacterial small subunit ribosomal RNA", at positions 523 to 918 of the family's 1533-position model. The record is from RNAcentral.
AUACGUAGGGGGCGAGCGUUGUCCGGAAUGAUUGGGCGUAAAGGGCGCGUAGGCGGCCCGGUAAGUCUGGAGUGAAAGUCCUGUUUUUAAGAUGGGAAUUGCUUUGGAUACUGUCGGGCUUGAGUGCAGGAGAGGUAAGUGGAAUUCCCAGUUUUGCGGUGAAAUGCGUAGAGAUUGGGAGGAACACCUGUGGCGAAGGCGACUUACUGGACUGUAACUGACGCUGAGGCGCGAAAGUGUGGGGAGCAAACAGGAUUAGAUACCCUGGUAGUCCACACUGUAAACGAUGAAUGCUAGGUGUAGGGGGUAUCGACCCCUUCUGUGCCGCAGUCAACACAAUAAGCAUUCCGCCUGGGGAGUACGGCCGCAAGGUUGAAACUCAAAUGAAUUGACGGGG